This is a long non-coding RNA of Macaca nemestrina (pig-tailed macaque), 1223 nucleotides long. Lineage: Eukaryota; Metazoa; Chordata; Mammalia; Primates; Cercopithecidae. The record is from Ensembl.
AUCCUCCUUGAAGAAUGGUCCAGCCUGCACUGCUGCUUUUUACCAUCAGGGGGCAGUGGGGCCAUGAGUGCCCAGGGAGACAGGGAAGGAUGCUUAGCACCUGGCAAGUGGGAGGAAGUGUCUCUCAGUGUUUGCACUUAAAGCAUCUCAGUAGCUAGAUACUUCAUUGGUACAAAUGGUGUAUUUUCUUCUAAAUUUUGUGCAAUACAAAAAGGCAGGAAGUUUGAUCUUAAUGCAUUUGCCAUGGCCAUCUAUUUCACUAUGAGCCAAGAAUUUAUUAGGAAAACGAAAAGAAUUGAAACUGCUAACCUGGUUCCCUGUGCUGUUGUAACGCUAUCUUGAUGGGUUGCUGUGAAAAUGUGAAGAUGUCUGUCAGGCAGGAAAAAUUAUGUAAAAAUGAUGUGGGUAUAGAAAAUGGGAUCGACAAAAUGUAAUAAACUCCUCCUGGGCUGAAGAGCAGAGCUGCAUAUGUAAUGAAGUACUUUAGGAUUACGUCACCUUUUAUAUAACAUCUGGCAGUGACUUUUAUUUCAGAGCUAAUUUGAAGAAGCCAGGCGCUUUUCUCUUCCCCUCCCCAAGACUGCCUUUAUCUGAAAGAAGAAAGAAGGAACUGUUAGAUUUUGCAUGCAAAGAAAGCCAGAGUGGCUAGAUUACUCCCUUAGGGUAAUGGAGAAAGGAAAAAGAAAUUGAAAAAGGUCAGGUGAACAAAGCAGAAGGAAUGAAGAGGUUUGUGUGAUUCUUAGUGAAAUUGGACCAGUCUAAGCAACCAGACAGUGCAGUUCAGGAAACCAGGCUGAAGAACGUGAAGUAUAUCGCCCAAAGUCAGACACGAAGGAACAACUGCUUUGGAGCUAGCACAUUCCUGAGCUGGAAUUGCACCACUGGUCAAUGGGACUGCAGAAUCCAAACUGUUUUCUACCGGAACAACUCCUUCCCUGCAGGAAGCAGGGUGCUCAUGGCUGAACCAUGGUCUGAGAAGGUUGAUGAAGUCACUGACUCAGCCCCAGCAAGGAAGUUGUCCUUCGACUUCUGACCUCUGGCCCUGUUUGAAAACCAACUCAAAUCGUCUUUCUUUUUCAGGGGAUGGAAUUGGCAAAAGAAUAUCGUGGGUCUACAUGAGCAUGGAGCUGAUAGAAGAAACUGUCAAAUACAAUCUAAAAGAACACAGUCCUUGUAAUGUAGGGGUGUGCAGAGACAGAACACAUCUUGAACUAAAACACUAA